GUCGUUACCUGUUCAAAAAACUUUGUUUGGGCUUUUCAAUACCACCUCAAAAUCUUGUGGAAACUCAGGCAGAUGUCCACGUUAAUCCAGGGGGUGAGGAGCAUAUUGUCAAAACGCCUGUGAGAAAAGAAGCCGAACCGACAAAAAAUAAAGCACCCAUUCGACGGCCAGUGACCUUGAAGACGUCAGGCGAAACAAUGAACUCA
RNAcentral lists this long non-coding RNA (206 nucleotides) under Lepisosteus oculatus (spotted gar). Its description in RNAcentral is "lncRNA (ENSLOCG00000021032.1)". The record is from RNAcentral. Lineage: Eukaryota; Metazoa; Chordata; Actinopteri; Semionotiformes; Lepisosteidae.